AGUUUGAUCAUGGCUCAGAGCGAACGCUGGCGGCAGGCCUAACACAUGCAAGUCGAGCGGCCGUAGCAAUACGGCAGCGGCAGACGGGAUAGUAACACGUGGGAACGCGCCCUUCGGUUCGGAAUAACUCAGGGAAACUUGAGCUAAUACCGGAUACGCCCUAACGGGGAAAGAUUUAUUGCCGAAGGAACGGCCCGCGUCCGAUUAGCUAGUUGGUGAGGUAAUGGCUCACCAAGGCGACGAUCGGUAGCUGGUCUGAGAGGAUGACCAGCAUCACUGGGACUGAGACACGGCCCAGACUCCUACGGGAGGCAGCAGUGGGGAAUAUUGGACAAUGGGCGCAAGCCUGAUCCAGCCAUGCCGCGUGGAUGAUGAAGGCCCUAGGGUUGUAAAGUCCUUUUAACGGGGAAGAUAAUGACGGUACCCGUAGAAUAAGCCCCGGCUAACUUCGUGCCAGCCGCCGCGGUAAUAC
Molecule: ribosomal RNA, 472 nt
Filed under: uncultured Hyphomicrobiales bacterium
Lineage: Bacteria; Pseudomonadati; Pseudomonadota; Alphaproteobacteria; Hyphomicrobiales
Description: bacterial SSU rRNA
Rfam family: Bacterial small subunit ribosomal RNA
Source: RNAcentral